UAUACUUUGGCAUCUUGUAUGAAGCUCCGGCGGGCAGGAUGAGCCCGCGGCCUAUUAUACUUGUUGGUGAGGUAAUGGCUCACCAAGGCGACGACGGUUUAGCCGGCCUGAGAGGGCGACCGGCCACUUUUUUACUGAGACCCGGCCCAGACCCCUACGGGAGGCUGCAGUUCUUUAGAUUCUACUAUGUUUGUAUGUCUUUUGCAACACCGCCC
RNAcentral lists this ribosomal RNA (215 nucleotides) under uncultured Streptomyces sp. RNAcentral describes it as "partial 16S ribosomal RNA". The stretch from base 1 to 171 matches the Rfam family "Bacterial small subunit ribosomal RNA", at positions 183 to 355 of the family's 1533-position model. Lineage: Bacteria; Bacillati; Actinomycetota; Actinomycetes; Kitasatosporales; Streptomycetaceae. The record is from RNAcentral.